Molecule: ribosomal RNA, 291 nt
Filed under: uncultured Bacteroides sp.
Lineage: Bacteria; Pseudomonadati; Bacteroidota; Bacteroidia; Bacteroidales; Bacteroidaceae
Description: partial 16S ribosomal RNA
Rfam family: Bacterial small subunit ribosomal RNA
Source: RNAcentral
UGCAAGUCGAGGGGCAGCAUGAACUUAGCUUGCUAAGUUUGAUGGCGACCGGCGCACGGGUGAGUAACACGUAUCCAACCUGCCGAUGACUCGGGGAUAGCCUUUCGAAAGAAAGAUUAAUACCCGAUGGCAUAAUAGAACCGCCAUGGUUUUACUAUUAAAGAAUUUCGGUUAUCGAUGGGGAUGCGUUCCAUUAGUUUGUUGGCGGGGUAACGGCCCACCAAGACUACGAUGGAUAGGGGUUCUGAGAGGAAGGUCCCCACAUUGGAACUGAGAAACGGUCCAGACUCC